This 262-nucleotide long non-coding RNA is filed under the name Capsicum annuum. Its description in RNAcentral is "long non-coding RNA (CANN_LNC012030)". The record is from RNAcentral. Lineage: Eukaryota; Viridiplantae; Streptophyta; Magnoliopsida; Solanales; Solanaceae.
UAGAUUUGUGCCUUGCAAUUAACUAAAGAUGACAAGAUUGAAAAGCUUAAGAGAGAUUUGAAUGGUAUUGCGACAAUCAAAAGAGAUUGUACAGUUGUUGAAGGGGAUUUGGAGCUUCAAGAGAAGUUGUUGUAGGUGGUAGUGUUGUUGGUGAUGGAGGAGGAAGUUCUUCUCCAAAUGUUGAUAGAGGUACUAGUGGUGUUGGUGCCGAAGGAGGAGGAGGAUCUUAUCCAUUUGUUACUAGUGAACUUGGUGGUUUUAG